Molecule: long non-coding RNA, 480 nt
Filed under: Helianthus annuus (common sunflower)
Lineage: Eukaryota; Viridiplantae; Streptophyta; Magnoliopsida; Asterales; Asteraceae
Source: RNAcentral
AUGCAAAGAGCUUAAAAGGUUGAAAGGUUCAUCGGAUGAAAAGCUGUAUAAUGAGGGAAUCGAGGAACAGUAACUAGUCAUGUCCACCAACUCGUCCCACCAACUCACACUCACCAACUCACAAAGUCAGAGCAGGUCUGCACAGGCACACCCUAUUAACCAGGGGUCCAAAGCCUUCAACCCCAAAAGGGGAAACCCUCCAUAAGCAAACAGGUCUCACUAGUAUAGUCCAUGCCAUUUCGAGAAGUACAGCUCAUAAACACUUCAAAGACAUUCCAAAAGGCACAGAGAUUCCUUAAUCUCUAGUCAUUCAAAGAGUUCUUUGUCACUUUCAAAUAACUCUUCAUCAGAUUCAUCUCAUUCAUUCUAUUUGCUUUCUUUUCUGGAUCCGAGCCGGCCUUGGAGAAAGAACUUCAAAGCAAAUAAUUCAAACAUACUAGUGAACCUCCUUCCACGUUUUGCAAACGUGGAGGGACCCCG